Molecule: ribosomal RNA, 483 nt
Filed under: uncultured bacterium
Lineage: Bacteria
Description: partial 16S ribosomal RNA
Rfam family: Bacterial small subunit ribosomal RNA
Source: RNAcentral
GACGAACGCUGGCGGCGUGCCUAACACAUGCAAGUCGAGCGGGGAUUUAAGUGGAAGUUCUUCGGAAUGGAGAUUUAAAUUCUAGCGGCGGACGGGUGAGUAACGCGUGAACAAUCUGUCCCGGACAGGGGGAUAACACUUGGAAACAGGUGCUAAUACCGCAUAAGACCACGGCCUCGCAUGGGGCUGAGGUAAAAGGAGCAAUCCGGUUCGGGGUGAGUUCGCGUCCGAUUAGCUAGUUGGUGAGGUAACGGCCCACCAAGGCGACGAUCGGUAGCCGGCCUGAGAGGGUGAACGGCCACAGUGGAACUGAGAGACGGUCCAAACUCCUACGGGAGGCGGCAGUGGGGAAUAUUGGGCAAUGGGCGAAAGCCUGACCCAGCAACGCCGCGUGAGGGAAGAAGGUUUUCGGAUUGUAAACCUCUGUCCUAUGGGACGAAGGAAGUGACGGUACCAUAGGAGGAAGCCCCGGCUAACUACGUG